GUGAUACUUGAGCUUUAUAAUUAUAAGAUGCUAGAAGAUAAUGAAAUUAAGAUUUUAAAUAUCAUGCCCUAUUUAAAUGGCAGUUGUUUUUGGCUGGAUUAGGAGUCAGCACAGGGUUUCGCUCUGUUGGGUAAAUACUCAUCAGCCUGUGAUGACACCGUGAUUAGUGGGUCUCGGUCGGAAAUGAGAUUGCCUUUGCUACCUGGAGCUCCAGCUCCUGGCGUCUUUCAGGCCACCUGGGGAGAAAUCACAGGACUACACAAGGCGUCGUGGUAGCACCGGGGCAGGUUGCUGGAGCCGCUGAGAACAGCUGUCCCUAGCUCAGGGUUAGAGUCGAAUGGGAAACCUGGGUAAUUGGAUCAACAGCCAGAUGUAAUUGCCAACAAACAACAGAGUGAAGUUCCGGCUGAUGAGCUUGCAGCGCAAUUAUUUGCUUUAAUGAAAGAGCACAGUUCGCUCCAGGGGCAGAAACUGCACACGGCCCGCAGUGUCCGUGCAGGUGCUCCGGACCCCUGCAGGUGCAGCCCCGGCCAUUCCUGCCCCAGUGACUUCGGGGUGCUCAUCAUCCCCACUUUAGGGGUGGAGGGACCUGAGGUUCACAGAGCCGCCUUCCUGUGUGCAACGCCACCCAGCGAAGGGCAGAGCUGAAAUUCAGGCCUCAUUCUAGGUCGUCUCCAGGAGACGAUUCUGCAAAGAAAUCUGAGCCAUUAGCGCCGCGCCUCUACAGCCUCCCCAGUGCAGUCAGUGGCUAGGGCCUGGAAGAGGCGAGGCCCAUCCACCUGCACAGAGGAAAACCUCCCUGUACUGCCUCCCACCCGGCCCUGUUCAGAGCGCCCUCUGCCGGCCCCUCGGGGAGGAUGAAGACCAGAGCAGCGAGACCCCCCCCCCCCCAGGCCCGCGCCCUCUAACGUCUGCGACGGGGAAGGCGGCGCGGCGCGCCGCACGUGCAGGUGCGGAAGCAGCCGCACCUGGGUCCACAGCCCCGCCCCGCGCGGCCCCUCAGCCGCCUUUGCGCAAUCCCGCUUCACUUCCUUUCCUGUCCUGCCCCUCCUCUCCGUUUCUAAUAGUGCAGUUAAGUCGAUGAACUUUCUUGUCCCCAGAUUCACAAGCAGCAGUGGCCACCCUGGGUGUGGGUCGGGAGUCGCCAUGGGGCUGUCUGGUUCCACACGAGGCACACGGGGAAGACAGGGAAUCGGAAUGAAGAGCAGGCCAGCUUUGCAGCGGGGCACAGAGCCUGGCCAGGGUGUCCACCUCGGAGCUGGCGGAGUGGCCCCUGCCUUAGGAGAGUCAGAGGCCUCUGCAGGGUGGACGCGACACGCCCGCAGGCGCUCAGAAAGAUGCGAAGCAGAGCUCGGCCUCGCAGGCCCAGCCAGAGAAGGCUCAGGCAGGGCCACGGGCACGGACCCUCGGCCAGACCCCGGCCACAGGGGCAGCGCACGCCCGCAAGUUGUAUUAGCUUUCCUGUGGCUCAGACACGACUCCUGACAGCUGUACCUCGAGGAGGAGAGGACAUCGGCUGGGCCGCCUGCGCGCUGGGACGUCUGGCUGUGGGGUUGCACGGUGGCUUGGAGUGUGAGGGCCCCGUAAGAGAAGCGGUCAAACGCGUGCAGACGCAACUGGGUGCUGAAGAAAAGGAACUGCUCCACCGCGGCCAGGAGCUUCAGGACUGGAUCGGGACAGCCAGAAUGACAGUCGAGCAGAGUGACAUCACGCAGGGAACGCCAGAGCCAGCUGGAACAGCAAACUGGAGGGUUCUUCUAUUUCCCUGGGCAGGGACCCGAGGCACGGGAAGCGGGGUGACCGGAUGCAGGGCCCUCGGGGAGGGGAGGCCAGGUGAGGGCCUGGCGCUUCCUCCCAGCCCGGCUUGUUAUCGCUGCUGACCCGGGACGACGUGCGGCGGCUUUUCUGGGUGGUUAUUACGCGAACACACUCACGGCGGGAAACAUCUGUUGUUGGACACAGCACUGUAGGCACAGCCGUGCCUGGUUGGUCUCUGUUAAUUUCAUUCAUAAAUCAUGGGUUAAGUGGAUGCGGGAGGGAGGCGCCGAGGCAGGGGAGCCAUUUCCCCGCUAGGGGAGUUGGGGACUCGCGCAGCCCUGCCGGCCGGCCGUGAACCCUCCCGCCCUCGCCUCAUGGGCGCUUCACCCCUGGGAAGUCCCAAGGAGGACUCGGGUGCCUCCCUCGAU
This 2186-nucleotide long non-coding RNA is filed under the name Heterocephalus glaber (naked mole-rat). Its description in RNAcentral is "lncRNA (ENSHGLG00000046488.1)". The record is from RNAcentral. Lineage: Eukaryota; Metazoa; Chordata; Mammalia; Rodentia; Bathyergidae.